Molecule: ribosomal RNA, 427 nt
Filed under: uncultured bacterium
Lineage: Bacteria
Description: bacterial SSU rRNA
Rfam family: Bacterial small subunit ribosomal RNA
Source: RNAcentral
UGGGGAAUUUUGGACAAUGGGCGAAAGCCUGAUCCAGCAAUGCCGCGUGAGUGAAGAAGGCCUUCGGGUUGUAAAGCUCUUUUGUCAGGGAAGAAACGGUGAGAGCUAAUAUCUCUUGCUAAUGACGGUACCUGAAGAAUAAGCACCGGCUAACUACGUGCCAGCAGCCGCGGUAAUACGUAGGGUGCAAGCGUUAAUCGGAAUUACUGGGCGUAAAGCGUGCGCAGGCGGUUUUGUAAGUCUGAUGUGAAAUCCCCCGGCUCAACCUGGGAAUGGCAUUGGAGACUGGAUGGCUAGAAUGUGGCAGAGGGAAGUAGAAUUCCACGUGUAGCGGUGAAAUGCGUAGAGAUGUGGAGGAACACCGAUGGCGAAGGCGGCUCCCUGGGUCAAGACUGACGCUCAGGCACGAAAGCGUGGGGAGCAAACA